GACGAACGCUGGCGGCGUGCCUAAUACAUGCAAGUAGAACGCUGAAGAGAGGAGCUUGCUCUUCUUGGAUGAGUUGCGAACGGGUGAGUAACGCGUAGGUAACCUGCCUUGUAGCGGGGGAUAACUAUUGGAAACGAUAGCUAAUACCGCAUAACAAUGGAUGACACAUGUCAUUUAUUUGAAAGGGGCAAUUGCUCCACUACAAGAUGGACCUGCGUUGUAUUAGCUAGUAGGUGAGGUAAUGGCUCACCUAGGCGACGAUACAUAGCCGACCUGAGAGGGUGAUCAGCCACACUGGGACUGAGACACGGCCCAGACUCCUACGGGAAGCAGCAGUAGGGAAACUUCGGCAAGGGGGGCAACCCUGACCGAGAAACGCCGCGUGAGUGAAGAAGGUUUUCGGAUCGUAAAGCUCUGUUGUAAGUCAAGAACGGGUGUGAGAGUGGAAAGUUCACACUGUGACGGUAGCUGACCAGAAAGGGACGGCUAACUACGUG
Molecule: ribosomal RNA, 497 nt
Filed under: uncultured bacterium
Lineage: Bacteria
Description: partial 16S ribosomal RNA
Rfam family: Bacterial small subunit ribosomal RNA
Source: RNAcentral